UUUUUUGGUCAGAAAUUUAUGGGCGCUUUGUUCGCCAGCUUCUGCAACAAUACAAAAAUGUCCUGGUCAAUUUCGGGAUGGAAAGAUGAUCAUUCACAGUCAACAGGAAUGAUGCAGUUUUCCAGGUUCACAUCUUGUAGAAGAGGGCUUUUGGAUGCUAGCUCAGCUAGUGAGGAGUCAAAGAUUUCUACCUGUACUAGAGAUAGCCUCUGAAGAGAUUCAAAAACUUGAAAGCUAGAUGAUCUAAAAUUGCAAAAGUUCAGGAUUAAAGUUUCCAAUACUUUGGGUGCAAAACUGCCAUGAGGUAAUUCAUAUAAUUCAGUAAGGUCAGUGGCUUCAUAAAAUUGUCCAGCAGAGAAGUCCAAAAAAAGCUCUCUGAUUUCAUUUUCAAAAGCAAAUUUAACCCAGCUAUUGAUCUUCCUAGUGUAUCCAAAUACCUCAUGUGCUUCAAAUUGGAAUGAUAACAGUAAGUUAUUGAUAGUGCAACCAGAAUGGAGCAGAAAGGAUUGAUCCACAAACUGUAUGGAUUUCUCUCGUGCAGCAUGUAUCAAUUGAUAUAGGGAUUGCAGAUAAUUACGGGUACUUGCAAAAUUGCCAGUUAGUGGAAGCUGCAGAAGUUGUAUAUCUUUUCUGAGGAUACUCCUUGUCAUCUCUACUUCAUUGAAAUUCAGGUUUUGUGGAAUCACCGAAAAGAAACUUGCAACAAUGCCUUUCCAUCGUUUUGAUAAGAGACUCAUUACAAUCAACUCUCUGUGUGGAAGGAACGAAAGGAUGUGGAAUAAAAUUGCUUCAGGAUGACCUUGGAGUUCCAGAUACAUAUCGACAUUGUUCUGCAAAAUUUAUUUCAUGUAUGUUACGAUAGUACUGAUCCCAGGAAUGAACCAUUAUAGCUUUGACUGAGUUAUCGACCUAUCAACUGCGCUGUGCACCAUGGAACUCCUAUCUUCGGAAUUGAAAGAGACAUUAUUUUCGCAAUGGAAAUAUCCACUCUAGCAAACUAUAUAGGUAUAGGAAACUGAGCUUUGUUUAAACCCGGUAACUAGGACACAAUGUUUACACCACCAAGCACACUUCUGAUAAUUUUAUUCCUUUCACUUGAAAAUGUCCUUGAAAUCAUUGGCUAGCUAUAGAAAUAGAAAUUCAUUGUUGUAAAGGACAAAUCGUCCCUGUUGCAUCUCUCAGCUUGACAGGAAAGAUUUUGGAGAAUGUUACAGUUUGAGUUUGGGUUAUAGAUUUAAUUCAUAGUAGCCUGACACGUUCAGGAUGUAUAUAUCUAGUGUAGUUUACUUGGUUUGUUUCCACAAAAUCUGGGUUAAAUUC
Pistacia vera is the source of this 1320-nucleotide long non-coding RNA. RefSeq lists it as uncharacterized. Lineage: Eukaryota; Viridiplantae; Streptophyta; Magnoliopsida; Sapindales; Anacardiaceae. The record is from RefSeq and is a predicted model, not a curated record. The transcript has 3 exons.